Molecule: non-coding RNA, 8059 nt
Organism: Phalacrocorax carbo (great cormorant)
Lineage: Eukaryota; Metazoa; Chordata; Aves; Suliformes; Phalacrocoracidae
Source: RefSeq, a predicted model, not a curated record
GGUGCUGGCUGGGCCCCUGCGUGUCUCCUGCCUCGUGUGCGUGCAGCUGAGACCCGCCAGCUGCUCGGACCUUUGGCUCACGCGAUCAUGUCCAAGGCAGAUGGGCACCUGUAUCCUCAUGUUCACCGCAUCACCAUGUGUAGCUGGGGCUUUCAUUACCAAGCUGACACAAACGUGGAAUUUUCACAAGCCUCCUGCAGGAAUCUGGGGAUAGAUAUGACCUGUGACAUUGCUGUAAUGGAGGUCAGUCUUGCUACAGCACUACAGAGCUCACUCAGCAUCAAGAAGGCACACAGCAACUUCUUGCAACUUUCGCUUGGACAUCGACACUUCCACCUCUCUAGACGGAACCGGAGAUGAGCUUUGAGUGGCUCCUCGUGUAGGUAACAGUAACACCAGUCGGUUUGGACACCGCAAGUACGGACUUGCGGGAAUCACAGGUUACAGUGUGUGCCUCUGACCCUGCAAGACCUGGAGGAGGAUGUCUGUCCUGGCUGCACUUUAGGCUAGGGAAGAGAAUGUCCAUUAGUGGGACAAAACCCACGAAUUCCCGCCCGUGUCGUACCCCUUGCCGAGCCAAGCUGCGCACGCGCAGCUCUCAUUGUACCUGCACAGCCCUGCACUAUUGAUCAAGACAAGAAUUGGAAACCAGCUGACUGUGAGGCUACAGGAGUAAACGCUGCAUUGCACAAUGAAGUGAAAAGCAACUGCGAUAAAAAAUCCCACCCUGAGCCUUCGCCGAGCGGUGCCUGGGAGCAAGGGCUGGUUUCUGUACAGUGCAGCUGGUGUUCGGCACAUCGUGCGGAAGGUCAGCAUCCACCGCCCGUUAACCUACAGAGUCUAGCUCUGGGAUCACCAAGCUGGAAAGCAACGGCAGCCUAUAAAGCAAUCAUUUGCAAUGACAGUGGGACAUACAGAGAAUUUAAAAAUGUGCCUUUAGUGGAGACUGCUACAUCAAAAAAAAACCCAAAAACAGAAAAAAACAGAAUGCUGAAGCAAAGAGCCACUCACCUUUUCAAGUUUCGCAACAAAUAUGUCCUUGAGAAACGCGUGGAGGGUAACUACAAAAGGAAAAAUUAGCUUAGCAUAGAAGAACUAAGCUGCUGGAAGCAGGAGAUGCAGCCCCUGCACUGCAGGCACCUGCAAGGGGAACGGGGAAAUGGUGUUUAGGAGCAGCUGUUUCCAUUGGCAAGUGGUUCUCGUGGUCUCCCAUGGAGUUAGGACCUUAAAAGGAGUGGAAGGGCACCUGGGAAGAUGUGCUAGCCCAAUACCCGUGCCUGGGGCAAACGCCCGACCGCUGUUCCCUGCCAGAGGAGCUUUUUGGAGCUGCGCCCGUGGGAAAUGGGCUUGCCAGGACCAGAGAGCCGCCACGAGGUUUCACGUGUGAAUAGGAGGCUUCAUGAAGAUAUGCCUUGCCUGCGGAUAAUUUCCUAAAGAGAGAUCGUGUUUGGGAGGAUCUAUUUCGUGCAAUGUCACGUCGAGCGGUUGCUCGGCAGGGGGUGGUGGGGGACGUGGAACGGGGAGGAGCAGAAAGGAAGGAGGACAAACUGUGUCCCGCUCCCCUCGCUUAGAGGGAAGCUGAGAGGAGACGUCUUGGGUAAUCCUCCUCCGUGGGGCCAGCAGCAGGAGCGUCCUCCACACCUCUUUUACCAGGCAAACUAGCUCGAUUAUCCUUCUACACCUCCACGUAUUUUGUUUUAGUUUCAGACUUACCAGGGAGCAGAUGAAAGUCACAGACCACAAGAAGGGCACCAGAGAUUUCUCAGUCCAGCCCCUUCGCUUUCCUCCUCUCAAGUGUUGCGUAUUCCUAUUUUAUUUUAGAAUAAGGUUCGCAGAAUUGGCUCAAGACGGCAAUCAGCUAGCAGAGCACAGCACGAAACCCAUCCCAAAGGGCCUCCGAGGGCCAAAGCUGCAUCCAGGAAUGUGCCAAAAAGCCUUGGAACAAUGGCCACGAGCAGCUGCAGCGGAUUUCUGCCGCCUCGAUGUUGCUCUGUAGAUGAAGAGGAGCUGAAAAAGGAGUAACUAUUACUGUGACCUUGCUUAUGGCUCAAAUGUCAUGGAAUCCUAAUUUUUAUUUAAGAGAGGCCAAUUUCCCUGAGAUUUUAAUUGGAAGAGACUGUGAUGCAAUGGAGCAGAAAUUAACCCACAGAACGUAUAAUUCAUCUCAUUUCCAAAGGUUUUUAUUGCUGAUCCCUUAGGCCCUAAGCACACCCUAGUCUGUGUUCAGGAUAAGAAAUACCUGAUUUCUCUUGUCUCUCAUCAAAUUAGGCUAGCACAGCCAGUACUUAAAGGAUUGCCGUUCCCCAGAAAACUCCACGUGUGGUCCCUGUUUCAGCUCAGCAGAAAAUUCAGAUAUUCUCAGACAAAAAUAUGUGAGGUUAUCUUAGUCUCAGGCUCAUAUCCCCGUGUUUUCUUAAGGUAGAAUAUUUCCAGCCACCUUGUUAUCCAGCUGGGAAUAGAAGAAGCUGUAUAAAUAUAGGUUCCCAUUGCCCAUCCAUACAUGCCAUGCUCUCCGAGGAGUGAAUUAUAUAUUGCUUCCAGAAUGAAGUAGCAAGGUCCAUCUUUCCUCCCAAGCUGUGCCAUACGAGUGCUUUCUCUGAGGGCGCCUUCCCAAGGCUGCCGCCUUUUUCUGUGGACCUGUUACCAGCAUGAAGAGGGGCACUCUUGUGCAGGGUGUGAAUCUUUCCUUGCCUCUGACUCACUGUUAUGUGAGCGAAACAGCAGGCCUGUCCAAGAGGAGCCCAUUCAGUCCUCGGUGUGUUCAUUCAUCUCAUUAUCCUUGUUUUCUUCCAUAUUAUUUGAAGAAUCGUAUUUAUCAAAUGGCUUUAUCUAAGCCUGAUGAUGUAUCUGUCUCUCUCCUUGACCCAGAGCUGAACGUAUUGUGCUGGUGCCUCCCUCCCUGGCACGGAGGCUGAGAUGCUGGAGCGGGCUGUCCCUUCUCCCUUAGUGCCACAGCCCUGGCUGGUAUGUCCUUGGCAGCUUGUGUAAUCUGCCUGUGUCUGCUGGCCACCCAUAACAUGGCAGUGACAAUCCUUGGCUCGCAGGUAGGAUAAAGUACCCUGCGUAUUUAGGGCCGUGUGAGCACAAACUGCUUGCUCUAGCAGCAAAGUAGCUAAAACCGGUAACCCUGCAGGACGCGAAGGGCAGCAGAGCGAAUGCAAAAUGCUUGGCUCUUGGCAUUCGCUGCAGAGGUUUCUCCUGACAUCCUGGAGGACCUGUGGAAGGGAAGGCCUUCCAGGAGCAUUUUCAAUAACAGAAACACAUUGACAUGUGCAUUGUGGGUGGAAUACGUCAAGCACGACCCCCCCUGCCCAUUUGGGGCAGCAUUUCUGCUGCUGUGUGAGGCUGGAGCCCACAAACACGGAGCUGGAAAAGUAAAGUCGGUCUUGGCUGUGCACCUUCCUAUCUCAGCCAUCUCCCUCUAGCAGCAGCGCCCUUGCACGCCGUCAGCCCAGCCUCAGUCAUUCCGUCAUUGUUUUCUUCCUGGAGUCGCUGUUUCUUCUCAGCCCUUCCUUCACCUGCGUCGGUCGGUCAGUUCGAUGCUCAGCGAAGUUACGCACCGCUCGCUUGACUUCACACUCGGACGCACAGUGCUCUCGCUUGUAGAAGUUGCUAACAAGUCCAAGCUGGUAUUUAAGGCAGCCAGUAAACAUGUCCUCGCUAGUGACUGAUGAGGGGUGUUUCUGCACAGACUAAUGCACAUAUUGAGACAGAUGCAUUUUGUCACGUCUUUACACCACUUCCUCCGGGAUAAGUUUUAUAGACGCAGUUAAGAUUUUUACAGCAUAUGAAAAGGCUCAGAGACUGAAAGGUAGGUUUGUACACCCUCGAGUUUUACAAAUGUGGUGUCAGCGGCGUUCAGAAUAACCUCUUGAAAGGCUUUUGCCCUCUUAACUUCAGGAAUGUAAGUUAAGUCCUGAAGAGUGCAGAAAUAAAAUACCCAACGUGGUAAGAAUUUAAAAUGGAAAAAAUGGGGUAUUUUACAGUUAGUACCUCAUUUCUAUAAACUUAAUUCAGCUCUUCUUUCGAAAGAGGUCUGUAGAUAUAAUCAAAGCUUGUAUGCCUUAGUUUUAAUUCAUUUCAUAUCCAUUGUAUUAUAUGGUGUUAUUUUUAUAGUAUUCACAUAUAGUUGACUUUUAGCUCAAAUCACUAGUGCAAUUUCAUCUUUUGCGGUUAUUCCUAGCUUUCUCAAAUGGGUUCUUUUGUCAGUCUCUAAAUAAUGGAAAUUUCUUAAGCUUGACCUAUUUGCCAUCUAGAAAGCACAGACUCUGAGAUGGAUUACCACUUAAGCCAUGGCCACCUAAAUUACAUGGAAGUAUAAUUAAUGACCAGCUUUAAUGACCUUUAUACUGUCAGGGCGAUGAAAAGUUAGCCUUUCUAGAAUUAAACAAGCCAAAAUCUGUUCUACUUUUCUGUAUAUGGGAGCUGAAGUACAGGGGAGGUAAAUUUCUGAAGCUGAUAAGAUUUAGUCCAAGACCUGAGUAAUCAUUGACUAAUCCGGGAGAAGCAUAGCAGGCUAUCGAUGUUUGAAGGUCUGAUUUACCUUUUGUGCUGAUAUAAUGUUUUGCCUCUAAUGGAUUCAUUUCUGAUUUAUACUGCUGUAGCCAAGAGAGAAGCCUAUUUCCAAGGCAGAAGAGAAGCUUGCUAUGAUGAAUAACAAGUGAGGUUUUCAAAAUUCUCUAAGCAAUUAAUUAACCCGCAGCUUCAAAACAGAAAUAUUCCCGGCACCGUGUUUUCUAGGAAUUCCUCCAAUAUUAUUUUAAAGGUCUCAGAGAGCCUUUGCCUGUUCCCACGAGCAACUGUUGUGCCAUCUUAAACAUGAUCCUCUCUGCAAGAUCCCCCAGCUGCUUCCUUUAAAGCGUUCCUGCUCCCAGCCUCAUCGCGUUUGGAUGCACUGUGGGAAAGGGGUGGUUCCGGAGCUGUCGUCCACAGCUCCCCCGCGGGACGUGGUGGCUGCGGCUGUCCCCGGCGUUACAGCCCCAGGCUGGCUGGCCGCAGCCACAUGCCACCCUGCCACACGGAGGGCUCUCCCGCCGGCCCCGGGUGGCUUCAAAGGGGAAAACGGAUUUGGGAACCACUAGCCGGAAUGGCAGAAGUCUCUUGGAAAGGCAAGUCAGACCCCUUGAAAGUCAGGAAGAAAAAAGAACCCGUUGCUAAACCUCUAGGAAGCAAAUGACGGGGCAUGGACUGGCCAUGCACGGGGGACGCCCACAGCAGGGUUUUGCCUGGGAUGAGCCGGAGCUGAGUGUCCCAGCGCCCGGGAGCACGUGUUGUGAACUGCUUUGCACAGAAGCGAGGUGUCCCCUGUCCUCUUGGCUGGUGGCUCCUUGAGUUUCUGAGAGGCAGCGCCUCGCACUUGGUUUCUACGUGUCACUUAACUUUUGCUUUGGGAAAGAAACGUAACUCUUGGGUGCGCGGCCAUGGGGGUUUCCAGCCUCCAGCUUGUGUGAUGGACUGGCAGUGUCAGUCCUUCUACUGAUGUUGUGCCAGAAGACUGGAGCUAACGCAUGUGUCAAGUGCAACAUGUCUUGUAACCUCUAGAGUAGAUGCUAUUUGACUGAGGUGUUUUCAGGCUUUUGCACCCAAUUCUGCUCUCAUUUAGACAUCUCUCCUGCUGCUCUGAUAUUACUGUUCUUCCUACAGCAGCUUAAAAAGUCUGCCUUUCACCUGCCUAUUGCUGUUUUAUCAGUACUUAGCGCAGGCAAACCCUCACUUGCUGCCUGAGUGAAGAACCUUCUGCGUCAUCCUCACGCCUGAUUCACCACCCUUUGUGAGGAGGUUUGUCCUUCAUUAACUGUUGCUCUUGCAUCUCCCCAGGUAGCAGAGUCUAGGGAAAGAAGAAGGAGACCCCUUGCAGGAGUUACCCACAGUUUACACUGAUGUGCCACUAAGAGGCAUGUCCCUCCUGUCGGGCUUUAACGGCUGUAGCUAUGCUUUCUAUAGUUCUCCACACCCCGGACAGAGCACUUGGAAAAAAAAAUGCAGAAGUCUUUGGUCAUGGUCAGUCUAUUUCUACAAACAAAUAAAAGAUCCUCAGCUAAAACUAGCCGAGAGCUUCAGACAGUCCAACCACUUCUUCCACUCCUGAAAACCCUCCUUCCUCAGGGCUGAAAUUCUGGUACUGUAAGAGCCAAUUCAGUACUUUGCCGCCGACUUCCGUAGGGGCCAGAUCUCUGCCCAGAUGUUCCUCCUUGGCUUUAACAUCUUCACAUCUUCCUGCACUCCUGGGCUCCUAGUACCACUUUGUUCCGCUCCCCGUCACACAUUUUAUUCCUUUUUUUCCCUCCACGAUUGACAAACAACUACUUCUGGCAAGCAGCGGAAGCGUCAGAGGAUACUCGCUGACAUCCUUGCCAGAUGAUGCUUCCAUACAAGUGGGUCAGUGUCGUGACUGGCGCAAUCGUUCUGGGGGAUACUGUGCCCUCAUUCAUGACAACAAUCAGGCUCUCAAAAUCCCUCACAUAAAAUAGCUGGCAAAGGCAUCCUGUUAUCUCUCCUUUUUGACUGCUAGCUGGUACAGGCUGCCCUGCCUCACGCGCUCUGCACUGGGUACAGCUAUGUGAAGAUUUCAGUUUAGUUCUUCGGCUGCUUCUUCUGCUGGGUCGGAUCUAAUUGCUGUCAGGAUGCAUAGCUGGUGCUUCAGGUGGUAAUGGGAAGACCUAGGAAAUGCUUUUGAGCUUUAAAAUCUCCUUAAGACAGCUUCUCCCCCUUCCAGAAAGAGGAAGCUUCUGAAACUUGUAAAAAUAAUUGGUCAAUGUGGGAGAGAACUUAGACUGUAAUACUAAUGCGCUAAAAUUCAAUCACUGUGCACACCGUGGCAUCACUUCAGUAGAUGCAGCUUAGCAAGCAUUAGAUUUACAACCAUGUUUUUGCCAGCUUGGUCUGCAGAGCUAAAUUCUUCAGGACUUUCCUGGAUUUUUCUCAGCCAGGUAGACCUCAUCUGCCUCCCUUUCCAAUCUGAAUGGCCUCCCACAUACAGUCCCCUUCUCCGGCUGCCUGGCUUUGCCUCCUUUGGCAUUCGGAUCUUAGCCCUUCUUUUCAUUUUCCCUGGCAGUUUUGGCUUGACCACUGCUUGAAAGACAGAGGGGAAAAAACCAAUUUUCGGGGAAUUGUCCUAAAAAUCAAUUGGUGGAGUUUCAGGCAACUUAACCUAACGGUUAAUUCAAGCCCAAGUGCUGCAGGAGUGGGAGCGGUUUUUGAGGACUGACAGCUCCUCAUUAACAUCUUGCAGGACUGCUGCGGCUCGAAAGAUAAGGGAUAAUAAGGUCGGCUGAUACUUAGCGUGUUUGGUUCUUCGGUGUCUCCAAGCACUGUCCCUGCUGGCUCUGGGCCCGUCUUUGUUCCUUGCUUUGGCAGUAUAUUAUAGGGCAAGGUACAGAGUAGGUAGGACUAAGAUUGCUGUUGUCAUUCCCGGUUUGUUUCUCUUUUCUGGGUCCGUAUGGCAAUUUAGUCCAUUUGUUUUGGUACAAAGAGCAAUUAUGGAGAUAUUGCGAGCUCCUAGUUGGACCACUUCAGUGUUUCCCUGGGACCAGCUAUAACUGUUUAAGGUAGUUUGAGUGUCUAAUGGGUGUAAUUAAACACACAACUCUUAGCAGCUAAUUUCUAUACCUAGCAGAUCUUUGGACUGUGCCAAUUUAGGAGGCACAAUAUGUGCUGUAACUGUGGCAGGAGUUAGCAAUAAAUCUCCAAGGAAACCCCCUGGACACAUAGUGCGUAAAAAUCUCGGUCUGGUCACGGACUAUUGACACACUCAAAGGUACGAUGCCGAUGCAGUGACCUCGAGUUGAGACCCAAUGCGAGGAAAUCAGGAAUGUGCAAUUUAAAAGGAUGAUAACAAUUUCCAAUACAUAAGCAUGGAAGGAUGCCUUAAGGAGUGAUUAAUGUGACAUCCCAUUAGCUUUAAGUACUACAGAACAUCUGGCAUAUUUCCCCCUUGACUGCAAAUUUCUGAGCACUGGUGUUAUGUCAUCUUACAGUAUUCAUUUUCUCCCUGUCUCUAUGAAUCACCGCAGCAAUUGUUCAUAUGAAGGCAAUUAUAUAAAUGCAUUUGAUUAAACUA